AACGAACGCUGGCGGCAUGCCUAACACAUGCAAGUCGAACGAGACCUUCGGGUCUAGUGGCGCACGGGUGCGUAACGCGUGGGAACCUGCCCUUAGGUUCGGAAUAACUCCCCGAAAGGGGUGCUAAUACCGGAUAAUGUCUUCGGACCAAAGAUUUAUCGCCUUUGGAUGGGCCCGCGUUGGAUUAGCUAGUUGGUAGGGUAAAAGCCUACCAAGGCGACGAUCCAUAGCUGGUCUGAGAGGAUGAUCAGCCACACUGGGACUAAGACACGGCCCAGACUCCUACGGGAGGCAGCAGUGGGGAAUAUUGGACAAUGGGCGAAAGCCUGAUCCAGCAAUGCCGGGUGAGUGAUGAAGGCCUUAGGGUUGUAAAGCUCUUUUACCCGGGAUGAUAAUGACAGUACCGGGAGAAUAAGCUCCGGCUAACUCCGUG
RNAcentral lists this ribosomal RNA (433 nucleotides) under uncultured bacterium. RNAcentral's name for it is "partial 16S ribosomal RNA". It matches the Rfam family "Bacterial small subunit ribosomal RNA", at positions 29 to 507 of the family's 1533-position model. The record is from RNAcentral.